UACGUAGGGUGCAAGCGUUGUCCGGAAUUAUUGGGCGUAAAGAGCUCGUAGGCGGUUUGUCGCGUCGGCUGUGAAAACCUGGGGCUCAACCCCGGGCCUGCAGUCGAUACGGGCAGACUAGAGUGCGGUAGGGGAGACUGGAAUUCCUGGUGUAGCGGUGAAAUGCGCAGAUAUCAGGAGGAACACCGGUGGCGAAGGCGGGUCUCUGGGCCGAUAUUGACGCUGAGGAGCGAAAGCGUGGGGAGCGAACAGG
This 253-nucleotide ribosomal RNA is filed under the name uncultured bacterium. RNAcentral describes it as "partial 16S ribosomal RNA". It matches the Rfam family "Bacterial small subunit ribosomal RNA", at positions 524 to 776 of the family's 1533-position model. The record is from RNAcentral.